This 980-nucleotide ribosomal RNA is filed under the name uncultured phototrophic eukaryote. RNAcentral describes it as "bacterial SSU rRNA". It matches the Rfam family "Bacterial small subunit ribosomal RNA", at positions 9 to 1029 of the family's 1533-position model. The record is from RNAcentral.
GAGUUUGAUUCUGGCUCAGGAUGAACGCUGGCGGUAUGCCUUAUACAUGCAAGUCGUACGAGAGUUUUUAGCUCAAGUGGCGGACGGGUGAGUAACACGUAAGAAUUUGCCUUUAGGAGGGGGACAACAACUGGAAACGGUUGCUAAUACCCCAUAUGCUUUCGAGUGAAACGGUUUUUCCGCCUAAAGAGAAGCUUGCGGCUGAUUAGCUUGUUGGUAGAGUAAUAGCCUACCAAGGCGACGAUCAGUAUCUGGUUUGAGAGGACGAUCAGACACACUGGAACUGAGACACGGUCCAGACUCCUACGGGAGGCAGCAGUAGGGAAUUUUCCGCAAUGGGCGAAAGCCUGACGGAGCAAUACCGCGUGAGGGAUGACUGCCUAUGGGUUGUAAACCUCUUUUUUCAGGGAGGAAUAAAUGACGUGUACCUGAAGAAUAAGCAUCGGCUAACUCCGUGCCAGCAGCCGCGGUAAGACGGAGGAUGCAAGUGUUAUCCGGAAUCACUGGGCGUAAAGCGUCUGUAGGUGGUCAAAUAAGUCAACUGUUAAAUCUUGGGGCUCAACCUCAAAAUCGCAGUCGAAACUAUUAGGCUAGAGUAUAGUAGAGGUAAAGGGAAUUUCCAGUGGAGCGGUGAAAUGCGUAGAGAUUGGAAAGAACACCGAUGGCGAAGGCACUUUACUGGGCUAUUACUGACACUCAGAGACGAAAGCUAGGGUAGCAAAUGGGAUUAGAUACCCCAGUAGUCCUAGCCGUAAACAAUGGAUACUAGGUGUUGAACAGAUCGAUCUGUGCAGUACUAAAGCUAACGCGUUAAGUAUCCCGCCUGGGAAGUAUGCACGCAAGUGUGAAACUCAAAGGAAUUGACGGGGGCCCGCACAAGCGGUGGAGCAUGUGGUUUAAUUCGAUGCAACGCGAAGAACCUUACCAGGGUUUGACAUGAUACGAAUUUCUUUGAAAAAAGAAAGUGCCUUUUGGAACGU